This is a long non-coding RNA of Salvelinus sp. IW2-2015, 802 nucleotides long. RefSeq lists it as uncharacterized. NCBI's taxonomy places the organism in Eukaryota, Metazoa, Chordata, Actinopteri, Salmoniformes, Salmonidae. The record is from RefSeq and is a predicted model, not a curated record.
CCAGUUGUGUGUGUGUCCUCUCCCUCAGGGCUGCCAGGUGAAGCUGGAGGAGGCCUUGCUUUUUGUUCUGCGCUUCAUCAUCUGGUCAUCGCUGGCAGUGGCGCUAGUGGAGACUGUAGGGUUUGUGAGUGUGGCUCAGCUGAUGAGGGACCAGCCUCUGUUGGAGUAUGGAAUACUGGACAGGGAGUGGGCCUGAACCAGAGUGGCAGUAUUCUGGACUGAGAAUCUACUUUAGAUAUACUAUGUCCUGGAACUUGGUAAAGUUCAUGAUGCUGUGGACCUUAAAGUUAAUAGUUGUCUGGGCAGCUCCAGAGGCCCUAGGGUACCAUUACAGGUAAUUGAUGUAAUCAUCCCCGAUCUUGUUGGUGUAACUGCUUAAGAGUGAUCAUCUUUCUUUCAUUAAACUAAUGUAUGUAUACACAUCCGUGAAGGGAGGAAGGAAGGUGUACUCUAAAAGUGUUGGAACGUGUCCUACACUUCUGCACACACUUCCUUCGUUUCAUAAGGAUCAACUGGAAUAUGUAAUGGCCUCUGUUUUGGUUUGUUUGAUUUUGUUCACUGAUGUAAAUACAUGCUGGUUAAAGAAACCACUCCAUCACAAUAAAUUGUCACAUGUCCUGCAGAUGAUAUAUUAAUGACAUUUUUAAACUACCCUGCACGGCUUUUGAGUAAUUGACUGGUUGAUACUGUGCUGUGUGGCUAUCGUGUGACUUUAACUUACCGGUUUGUAURUGGGGGAUUCUGCAACUUCGGGCACUUUGGCCCUGCAAGCGUUCAGAAAUUAAAAGUUAUUGAAACACCA